RNAcentral lists this ribosomal RNA (386 nucleotides) under bacterium enrichment culture. RNAcentral describes it as "bacterial SSU rRNA". It matches the Rfam family "Bacterial small subunit ribosomal RNA", at positions 521 to 916 of the family's 1533-position model. The record is from RNAcentral.
UAAUACGUAGGGGGCGAGCGUUAUCCGGAUUUAUUGGGUGUAAAGGGUGCGUAGGCGGUUUAUUAAGUCUAAAAUUAAAGCCUGGGGCUUAACCUCAGUUCGUUUUAGAAACUGGUAGGCUUGAGUAUGGUAGAGGUAAGUGGAAUUUCUAGUGUAGCGGUUAAAUGCGUAGAUAUUAGAAGGAACACCAGUGGCGAAGGCGGCUUACUGGGCCAUUACUGACGCUGAUGCACGAAAGCGUGGGGAGCAAAUAGGAUUAGAUACCCUAGUAGUCCACGCCGUAAACGAUGAUUACUAAGUGUCGGGAAACCGGUGCUGAAGCUAACGCAUUAAGUAAUCCACCUGAGUAGUACGGUCGCAAGACUGAAACUUAAAUGAAUUGACGG